UGUAUCUGAAGCCUGACGAGGAUGAGAACCUCCGGGGGCAAGAGGUUCGACCCGAGCGAAGCGAGAGAACGUUGCGUCAGCAACGGCCCGCAGGGCGAGCCACGC
Molecule: small RNA, 105 nt
Filed under: Salmonella enterica
Lineage: Bacteria; Pseudomonadati; Pseudomonadota; Gammaproteobacteria; Enterobacterales; Enterobacteriaceae
Description: partial RtT sRNA
Rfam family: RtT RNA
About the family: This family represents a bacterial cis-regulatory element known as RtT RNA.
Source: RNAcentral